RNAcentral lists this ribosomal RNA (482 nucleotides) under uncultured Oscillospiraceae bacterium. RNAcentral describes it as "partial 16S ribosomal RNA". Lineage: Bacteria; Bacillati; Bacillota; Clostridia; Eubacteriales; Oscillospiraceae. The record is from RNAcentral.
UACGUAGUUAGCCGUGGCUUCCUCCUUAGCUACCGUCAUUAUCGUCACUAAGGACAGAGGUUUACAAUCCGAAAACCGUCUUCCCUCACGCGGCGUUGCUGCAUCAGGGUUUCCCCCAUUGUGCAAUAUCCCCCACUGCUGCCUCCCGUAGGAGUCUGGGCCGUGUCUCAGUCCCAAUGUGGCCGAUCAACCUCUCAGUUCGGCUACCGAUCGUCGCCUUGGUAGGCCGUUACCCCACCAACUAGCUAAUCGGACGCGAGCCCAUCUAAAAGCGGAUUGCUCCUUUGAUCUCAGAACCAUGCAGUUCCGAGAUGUUAUGCGGUAUUAGCGACCGUUUCCAGUCGUUAUCCCCUCUUCUAGGCAGGUUGCUCACGCGUUACUCACCCGUCCGCCACUAAGUUUGCUCCCGAAGGAACAACUCCGUUCGACUUGCAUGUGUUAGGCACGCCGCCAGCGUGUCCUGUGCCACGGAGUCAACUACC